Molecule: non-coding RNA, 211 nt
Filed under: Vibrio parahaemolyticus
Lineage: Bacteria; Pseudomonadati; Pseudomonadota; Gammaproteobacteria; Vibrionales; Vibrionaceae
Description: GcvB RNA
Rfam family: GcvB RNA
About the family: The gcvB gene encodes a small untranslated RNA involved in expression of the dipeptide and oligopeptide transport systems in Escherichia coli.
Source: RNAcentral
GCAACACGAGCCUGAACGGCUUGAUUUCUUUGGAAAUCAAUUGGCUUCGUUGUUGCGAUGUUGUGUUUGCAAACUCGUAUUUCGAGUUAGGUAGAUUUCUACCAUAAUGUUUUGUCCACACUCCCUGUGACAAAACAUAUACUUCCUGUAUUUAUUUUUGACCUGUCUGUCAAAUUUGUUACACCGCCUAAAUUAGGCGGUGUUUUUUUAU